RNAcentral lists this ribosomal RNA (433 nucleotides) under uncultured bacterium. Its description in RNAcentral is "partial 16S ribosomal RNA". It matches the Rfam family "Bacterial small subunit ribosomal RNA", at positions 29 to 507 of the family's 1533-position model. The record is from RNAcentral.
AGCGAACGCUGGCGGCAGGCCUAACACAUGCAAGUCGAGCGGACCCUUCGGGGUUAGUGUCGGCUGGGUGUGUCACCCGUGGGAACGUGCCUUUAUGGUCGGCAUAGCUCCUGGAAACGGGUGGCUAUGCCGAAUCUGCCCUUCUGGGGGAAGAUUUAUCGCCUUUCGUGCGGCCCGCGUCUGAUUCGCUAUUUCGGGAGGUAACGGCUCACCACGGCGCCGAUCAGUAGCUUGGUUGGGAGGAUGCCCAGCCACACUGGGAGUGAGACACGGCCCAGACUCCUACGGGAGGCAGCAGUGGGGAAUCUUGCGCAAUGGGCGAAAGCCUGAAGCAGCCAGGCCGCGUGAAUGAUGAAGGUCUGAGGAUAGUAAAAUUCUUUCACCGGGGACGAUAAUGACGGUACCCGAAGAAGAAGCCCCGGCUAACUUCGUG